GAGGUUGUGGCUCAGUGGUGGAGUGCAUGCCUAGCAUGCAUAAGGUCCUGGGUUCAAUCCUCAGCACCUCU
This 71-nucleotide transfer RNA is filed under the name Camelus bactrianus (Bactrian camel). It matches the Rfam family "tRNA". From Rfam's summary of the family: Transfer RNA (tRNA) molecules are approximately 80 nucleotides in length. Their secondary structure includes four short double-helical elements and three loops (D, anti-codon, and T loops). RNAcentral also lists the same sequence under 2 other names. Lineage: Eukaryota; Metazoa; Chordata; Mammalia; Artiodactyla; Camelidae. The record is from Rfam by way of RNAcentral.